AGUGAUGCAAUCAGCCCAAUUGAGGAUUCAUAUAUACGGUGGUGUUUUGGGGUGUUGUAGCAUUUCCAUACAUCGUGCAUCAACUACCAACUUUGGUACGGAGCUCAGAACAGGCAUUGGAUUCUACUUAGUGCCGUCGUCUUUGUUAUACCUGAAUCGCUGCUGAACUCUCCUACACAGACUGAAUCUGAGAAUGAAGCUUAUCAUUAUAACAUGUUGCCUUAUUGGAGCAGCUUUUGCUAACCCAAUUUUACACAACAUUUUGGUAUCAACUGAGUCUGAAUCAAACUCUGUAAGUAAUAUUUCCACCCUUCUCCCUGAACUUAAUUACCCUGAACCCUCAACCUCCCCAGAGGUGCUUGACUGUUUUUUACUACUUAAUGUAAAUGUUAAUGCAGUUGGAAUCGUUCCUCCUAAGUAGCUGCUUGCACAGUUGCUAUUUAGGAGCAACUGUGCUGAGGGGCAAAGUGGCUCCUGAUGUAAAAAUAAUAAAACUUUAUCUAUAGCUUAUUAAAUGCAAGAAAAGCAGCAAUAAUACCAGUUAAUCUUUGC
This is a long non-coding RNA of Poecilia latipinna (sailfin molly), 552 nucleotides long. RefSeq lists it as uncharacterized. NCBI's taxonomy places the organism in Eukaryota, Metazoa, Chordata, Actinopteri, Cyprinodontiformes, Poeciliidae. The transcript has 3 exons. The record is from RefSeq and is a predicted model, not a curated record.